CCCAUGGAUCUUUUUGGAUCCAACAAAGAUAUACAAACAGAAAGUG
Molecule: non-coding RNA, 46 nt
Organism: Morus notabilis
Lineage: Eukaryota; Viridiplantae; Streptophyta; Magnoliopsida; Rosales; Moraceae
Source: Rfam